Molecule: long non-coding RNA, 298 nt
Organism: Erinaceus europaeus (western European hedgehog)
Lineage: Eukaryota; Metazoa; Chordata; Mammalia; Eulipotyphla; Erinaceidae
Exons: 3
Source: RefSeq, a predicted model, not a curated record
GCCCACAAUGCACAGCUACUUCCGCCCUCGGAUGCCCCGCCCCCUUUUUUCCGAGAGAAAGGGAGAGAGAAACAUGGAAGUAUUACUCUAUUCAGAAUUCUUUUGGUGCUGAUCUUGGUGUUCCCACAUGUUGGGGCCUGAGAAAACUGAAGGCAGCUUUAUAUACUGUUGAGAAGAAAGAAAACCAGCCAGCAGUUGGACUGUACUGAACGGUUGAAUGAAGCCCUUUUAGCAGCUGGAAAAAUUCCAUUGGCUCCAGUCACUCCUUGAUUUGUAAAAAAAAAAAUUCGUGACCUUC